This 620-nucleotide unclassified non-coding RNA is filed under the name Hevea brasiliensis (rubber tree). The record is from RNAcentral. Lineage: Eukaryota; Viridiplantae; Streptophyta; Magnoliopsida; Malpighiales; Euphorbiaceae.
CGAGAUAGUGUGUGUGUGAGCGAGAGAUUCAGAGGCGGCGAGGAUGGUGAAGUUUUUGAAGCCAAACAAAGCUGUUAUCCUUCUUCAAGGCAAGUAUGCCGGCCGGAAAGCUGUGAUCGUAAGGGCAUUUGAUGAAGGAACAAGGGACAGGCCAUAUGGCCAUUGUUUGGUCGCAGGUAUCUCCAAGUACCCGAAGAAGGUGAUCCGCAAGGAUUCAGCAAAGAAGCAGGCGAAGAAAUCUCGUGUUAAGGCUUUCAUCAAGCUCGUGAACUACAACCACAUCAUGCCUACUCGUUACACACUCGAUGUGGAUCUGAAGGAUGUUGUCAAUGCUGAUGUUCUUCAGGCACGUGACAAGAAGGUGACCGCUGCAAAGGAGACCAAGGCUAGGCUUGAGGAGAGGUUCAAGACCGGGAAAAAUCGCUGGUUCUUUACCAAGCUUAGGUUCUGAGCGAAGAUUGAAUCCGAUUUUGAUGAAAUGGUAAUUUUUUUUAGUAUUAAAGAGUUUUGAGGAAUGUGUUUGUUAUCAAAGAUACUAUUAGGCUGUUUUUGUGUUUGCACUAUUUUAUUGAUGGAUAAUUCCUGGCUCUUGUUUCAGUUAUCUACAGUUUUAUAAUGGC